Molecule: ribosomal RNA, 468 nt
Filed under: uncultured bacterium
Lineage: Bacteria
Description: partial 16S ribosomal RNA
Rfam family: Bacterial small subunit ribosomal RNA
Source: RNAcentral
GACGAACGCUGGCGGCGUGCUUAACACAUGCAAGUCGAACGGAAAGGCCCUGCUUUUGUGGGGUGCUCGAGUGGCGAACGGGUGAGUAACACGUGAGUAACCUGCCCUUGACUUUGGGAUAACUUCACGAAACUGGGGCUAAUACCGGAUAGGAGCUCCUGCUGCAUGGUGGGGGUUGGAAAGUUUCGGCGGUUGGGGAUGGACUCGCGGCUUAUCAGCUUGUUGGUGGGGUAGUGGCUUACCAAGGCUUUGACGGGUAGCCGGCCUGAGAGGGUGACCGGCCACAUUGGGACUGAGAUACGGCCCAGACUCCUACGGGAGGCAGCAGUGGGGAAUAUUGCACAAUGGGCGGAAGCCUGAUGCAGCAACGCCGCGUGCGGGAUGACGGCCUUCGGGUUGUAAACCGCUUUCGCCUGUGACGAAGCGUGAGUGACGGUAAUGGGUAAAGAAGCACCGGCUAACUACGUG